Non-coding RNA from Phrynosoma platyrhinos (Desert horned lizard), 73 nucleotides. Lineage: Eukaryota; Metazoa; Chordata; Lepidosauria; Squamata; Phrynosomatidae. The record is from the annotation of a GenBank genome assembly.
GCCAGUGUGCUCUAAUGGUUUGAGUGUUGGACUACAACUCUGGAAGAUCAGGGUUCAAAUCCCCACUCUGCCA